AUUGAACGCUGGCGGCAGGCCUAACACAUGCAAGUCGAGCGGAUGAAGGGAGCUUGCUCCUGGAUUCAGCGGCGGACGGGUGAGUAAUGCCUAGGAAUCUGCCUGGUAGUGGGGGAUAACGUCCGGAAACGGGCGCUAAUACCGCAUACGUCCUGAGGGAGAAAGUGGGGGAUCUUCGGACCUCACGCUAUCAGAUGAGCCUAGGUCGGAUUAGCUAGUUGGUGGGGUAAAGGCCUACCAAGGCGACGAUCCGUAACUGGUCUGAGAGGAUGAUCAGUCACACUGGAACUGAGACACGGUCCAGACUCCUAAGGGAGGCAGCAGUGGGGAAUAUUGGACAAUGGGCGAAAGCCUGAUCCAGCCAUGCCGCGUGUGUGAAGAAGGUCUUCGGAUUGUAAAGCCCUUUUAGUUGGGAGGAAGGGCAGUAAGUUAAUACCUUGCUGUUUUGACGUUACCAACAGAAUAAGCACCGGCUAACUUCGUG
This 484-nucleotide ribosomal RNA is filed under the name uncultured bacterium. RNAcentral describes it as "partial 16S ribosomal RNA". It matches the Rfam family "Bacterial small subunit ribosomal RNA", at positions 30 to 507 of the family's 1533-position model. The record is from RNAcentral.